This 657-nucleotide ribosomal RNA is filed under the name Chlorella sp. PF1. RNAcentral describes it as "eukaryotic LSU rRNA". The stretch from base 251 to 404 matches the Rfam family "5.8S ribosomal RNA". The record is from RNAcentral. Lineage: Eukaryota; Viridiplantae; Chlorophyta; Trebouxiophyceae; Chlorellales; Chlorellaceae.
UCCACCCUGGUAACCAACCGUCACCCCCGCUCUGCCGCCCGGGUUCGUCCUGGGGCUCACGGCAUCGGGCGCCGGUCCCCUGGCUGGGGUCCCUCGGGACGCCAGUUAGGUCCGGCGGGCGUCUCCCCUGGCUCAUACCCAGGGGUUGGCGUCGGUAAUUUAUAUAUCUAACCUCAACACACCCCAAACCAUAAGUUGUUCUGAAGCUGAAUGUGGUGCGGCCUCGUGCCUGCCCACUCCAACCAAAGACAACUCUCAACAACGGAUAUCUUGGCUCCCGUAUCGAUGAAGAACGCAGCGAAAUGCGAUACGUAGUGUGAAUUGCAGAAUUCCGUGAACCAUCGAAUCUUUGAACGCAAAUUGCGCCCGAGGCCUCGGCCGAAGGCAUGUCUGCCUCAGCGUCGGCUUACACCCUCGCCCUCUUUACUCCUGUGAGUAUCGAUGGCGGACCUGGCCCUCCCGGCUCCGUCUCGCUUGCGAGUCGUCCGGGUUGGCUGAAGCACAGAGGCUUGAGCAUGGACCCCGUUUGCAGGGCAAUGACUUGGUAGGUAGGCACCCCCUACGCAGCCUGUCGUUGCCCGAGGGGACUUUGCUGGCGGCCCCGCAGGAAUUCGGGCUUUAGUCCGAACUUUCAUUUUCGACCUGAGNUCANGCAAG